UUGGUAUAAAAACACAGGUUCAAAUCCCAUGACCAUCAUGGAGGCUUUUUGCUUAGGAAAAAAUAUAUUUUUGAUUUUUGAUCACACAUGAAAUGUGUCUGAGAACUUUAUACAGAUUAUUCUACAACUUUAUAGUCUAUGCUAUGAAGAUAUUGUUCUUGAGCUGGACUUAAGCAAAUAAAUAAAUACAAACCUACAUCUAAUGUGCAAGCUUGGCACAUCAAUAAAGAUUAAAUUAUUAAAUAAUAAUAGAUAACAAAGAGAUUACACUACUAAUGUAGUCAAUUUUCUUCAAAUAACACCUCUUCAAAGUUCAAUCAACCAGUUUGUAUUCCAUUCUAUUCUUUAUGAUAUGCAUUUUUUGAGACUUCACUCAAAUUUUAAUUAAUCUAGUAAUUAUAAAUUAAAUCACCUAAUCUUCAAUUAAAUCAUCAUUUGUAGUUUAGAAAGAUCUAAUUUCAAUUGUAUAUAUAUGGUUGAAGAAAUUAUAAAUUCCCAAAAA
This 502-nucleotide long non-coding RNA is filed under the name Physcomitrium patens. RNAcentral's name for it is "long non-coding RNA (PPAT_LNC003540)". The record is from RNAcentral. Lineage: Eukaryota; Viridiplantae; Streptophyta; Bryopsida; Funariales; Funariaceae.